AAGAAGCACCGGCUAACUACGUGCCAGCAGCCGCGGUAAUACGUAGGGUGCGAGCGUUAAUCGGAAUUACUGGGCGUAAAGCGUGCGCAGGCGGCUUUUUAAGCCAGAUGUGAAAUCCCCGGGCUUAACCUGGGAACUGCAUUUGGAACUGGAAGGCUAGAGUGUAGCAGAGGGGGGUAGAAUUCCACGUGUAGCAGUGAAAUGCGUAGAGAUGUGGAGGAAUACCGAUGGCGAAGGCAGCCCCCUGGGCUAACACUGACGCUCAUGCACGAAAGCGUGGGGAGCAA
Molecule: ribosomal RNA, 287 nt
Filed under: uncultured beta proteobacterium
Lineage: Bacteria; Pseudomonadati; Pseudomonadota; Betaproteobacteria
Description: partial 16S ribosomal RNA
Rfam family: Bacterial small subunit ribosomal RNA
Source: RNAcentral